RNAcentral lists this ribosomal RNA (439 nucleotides) under uncultured bacterium. RNAcentral describes it as "bacterial SSU rRNA". It matches the Rfam family "Bacterial small subunit ribosomal RNA", at positions 954 to 1392 of the family's 1533-position model. The record is from RNAcentral.
GCUUAACGCGAAGAACCUUACCUACUCUUGANCAUCCAGAGAACUUGGCAGAGAUGCUUUGGUGCCUUCGGGAACUCUGAGACAGGUGCUGCAUGGCUGUCGUCAGCUCGUGUUGUGAAAUGUUGGGUUAAGUCCCGCAACGAGCGCAACCCUUAUCCUUUGUUGCCAGCGGUUAGGCCGGGAACUCAAAGGAGACUGCCAGUGAUAAACUGGAGGAAGGUGGGGAUGACGUCAAGUCAUCAUGGCCCUUACGAGUAGGGCUACACACGUGCUACAAUGGCGCAUACAAAGAGAAGCGACCUCGCGAGAGCAAGCGGACCUCAUAAAGUGCGUCGUAGUCCGGAUUGGAGUCUGCAACUCGACUCCAUGAAGUCGGAAUCGCUAGUAAUCGUGGAUCAGAAUGCCACGGUGAAUACGUUCCCGGGUCUUGUACACACCG